Molecule: ribosomal RNA, 500 nt
Filed under: uncultured bacterium
Lineage: Bacteria
Description: partial 16S ribosomal RNA
Rfam family: Bacterial small subunit ribosomal RNA
Source: RNAcentral
AUUGAACGCUAGCGGGAUGCCUUACACAUGCAAGUCGAACGGCAGCACGGGAGCAAUCCUGGUGGCGAGUGGCGAACGGGUGAGUAAAGUAACGGAACGUGCCCAGUCGUGGGGGCUAACGUAGCGAAAGUUACGCUAAUACCGCAUAAGCACGAUGGAUGAAAGCGGGGGAUCGCAAGACCUCGACCGAUUGGAACGGCCGAUAUCAGAUUAGGUAGUAGGUGGGGUAAAGGCCCACCAAGCCGACGAUCUGUAGCUGGUCUGCGAGGACGACCAGCCACACUGGGACUUGGACACGGCCCAGACUCCUACGGGAGGCAGCAGUGGGGAAUUUUGGACAAUGGGCGAAAGCCUGAUCCAGCCAUGCCGCGUGCAGGAUGAAGGCCUUCGGGUUGUAAACUGCUUUUGUACGGAACGAAAAGGUUUGGCCUAAUAAGCUGAGCUCAUGACGGUACCGUAAGAAUAAGCACCGGCUAACUACGUGCCAGCCGCCGCGGUAA